CGCUCUGAGGAAGAAAACAGAAUUACCACUGUGCUGGUCAAACAAAAUGGCUAAGCACAGGUGUGUUCCAAAUGGAUGUACUAACCACUACCAUUUAGAUUACCUUCUAGCCCAGUGUUUGCAGUGUUGAAGGUGGAGAAAAGCAGUAACUACCACUUGCCUUUUGGAAUCUGGCACACCCAGUCAAGUUUUGCAUCACAAGAAAAAGGCUUCAAAUAACCAAAUUUUCUCUCAUCAUAGUAAUACCAGGUUCUUAGCCAAGCAUUGUCAAGUACCUAAAGGAGGAAGAGGAUGGCAGGAUAUUCUGAAACUGUUGCAGCUCUUUGCAAACACUGUAAGCUACAGUCUCCAUCUCUACUUUAGUUCCAGCACCCACCAUACAUGCAAAAUUAACAGAUGAAGGCAUGGGAUGUUUAAACAGUAAAAUUUUGUGCAAGAGUUUUCCAAGUGACAAAGGAAACAAAGUCGUGUUUAUGCCCAAAAUGCUAAUUGUUGUCUUUUUUGUUGUUGUUGACAUGAAACUUUAGACUUUAUGCUUUUUUCCAUUUCUUUUUAAAAUUCCAAUAAAAACUUUUCCUUGUA
This is a long non-coding RNA of Mesocricetus auratus (golden hamster), 582 nucleotides long. RefSeq lists it as uncharacterized. The transcript is spliced from 2 exons. The record is from RefSeq and is a predicted model, not a curated record. NCBI's taxonomy places the organism in Eukaryota, Metazoa, Chordata, Mammalia, Rodentia, Cricetidae.